AAUUAAUGAAUUCAUCAAAAAAAAUUUGACCAUAAACCUGAUUUACCAUUGAUGACAACCUCAGCUAACCCCGUUCAAACCGUUAGAGCGGCACCCCUACUUCGCAGCCUUCUCCUACACGAUAUUUCACAAAAAAUCAAAUCCCCUAACUACAUUAUUACAUUAUUACAAAAAGGAUUAACCCAAUAGCUUACAGAAACCGCAACCUACCACCAAGGGAAACCCCACUUACCUGAAUCGUACGACAAACAAUGAAAUUUUAGAAUGUAACAAGAAGAACAAAAGAGUGUGAACGAGUAUUAAAAGGAAAAAAAUGAAAAUAUAAUGCAGAGAAAGGAAAGGGAAAAACGUCAAAAAAAUUUAAUGAGAAGAGGGAAAAAGAAAAGAAAAGAAAAGAAAAGAAAGAAAAAGAAAGAAAGAAAGAAGGAAAAAAAAUAAAAUAGAAUAAAAGUCCACAAUCCCUCAAAUUAAGGCAUGAUCUCUCAUCAAACCCAAUCCCAACUACCCACUCACUUAUCCACUUAUAUAGACUUUCAAUUCCAUCCAAACUCUCUUAAACAACUGAAGAAAAAAUCAUCACCCACGCUUAUGCAGGAAUUCAAACACAAGACCUCCAGCAAGCCAACUCCUUACCAUUCGAACCAGUAGGGUCAUUCUGAUAUGAGUUUACAAACAAUUUAACAUAAGCCCACCCAACAGGGAUAAGACUAGAAUAAAAAAUAAUAGAAUUUUCCAGAGGGUAGGACUUGAACCCCAG
RNAcentral lists this long non-coding RNA (757 nucleotides) under Gossypium raimondii (Peruvian cotton). Its description in RNAcentral is "long non-coding RNA (GRAI_LNC006422)". Lineage: Eukaryota; Viridiplantae; Streptophyta; Magnoliopsida; Malvales; Malvaceae. The record is from RNAcentral.